GAUGAACGCUAGCGGCAGGCCUAACACAUGCAAGUCGAGGGGCAGCACAGAAACAGCAAUGUUUUGGUGGCGACCGGCGGACGGGUGCGUAACGCGUAUGCAACCUACCUUUAACAGGGGGAUAACGGAGAGAAAUUUCCACUAAUACCCCAUAACAUCGAUCAAGUCAUCUUGAUUGGUUGAAAACCCCGGUGGUUAAAGAAGGGCAUGCGUUGUAUUAGGUGGUUGGUGAGGUAAUGGCUCACCAAGCCUACGAUACAUAGGGGGACUGAGAGGUUAGCCCCCCACACUGGUACUGAGACACGGACCAGACUCCUACGGGAGGCAGCAGUGAGGAAUAUUGGUCAAUGGGGGCAACCCUGAACCAGCCAUGCCGCGUGCAGGAAGACGGCUCUAUGAGUUGUAAACUGCUUUUAAACAGGGAUAAAGCACAGUAUGUAUACUGUGUUGAAGGUACUGUAAGAAUAAGGAUCGGCUAACUCCGUGCCAGCCGCCGCGGUAA
Molecule: ribosomal RNA, 502 nt
Filed under: uncultured bacterium
Lineage: Bacteria
Description: partial 16S ribosomal RNA
Rfam family: Bacterial small subunit ribosomal RNA
Source: RNAcentral